UACGUAGGUCCCGAGCGUUGUCCGGAUUUAUUGGGCGUAAAGCGAGCGCAGGUGGUUUAUUAAGUCUGGUGUAAAAGGCAGUGGCUCAACCAUUGUAUGCGUUGGAAACUGGUAGACUUGGGUGCAGGAGAGGAGAGUGGAAUUCCAUGUGUAGCGGUGAAAUGCGUAGAUAUAUGGAGGAACACCGGUGGCGAAAGCGGCUCUCUGGCCUGUAACUGACACUGAGGCUCGAAAGCGUGGGGAGCAAACAGG
RNAcentral lists this ribosomal RNA (252 nucleotides) under uncultured bacterium. RNAcentral describes it as "partial 16S ribosomal RNA". It matches the Rfam family "Bacterial small subunit ribosomal RNA", at positions 524 to 776 of the family's 1533-position model. The record is from RNAcentral.